AAAUUGAAGAGUUUGAUCAUGGCUCAGAUUGAACGCUGGCGGCAGGCCUAACACAUGCAAGUCGAACGGUAACAGGAAGCAGCUUGCUGCUUCGCUGACGAGUGGCGGACGGGUGAGUAAUGUCUGGGAAACUGCCUGAUGGAGGGGGAUAACUACUGGAAACGGUGGCUAAUACCGCAUAACGUCGCAAGACCAAAGAGGGGGACCUUCGGGCCUCUUGCCAUCAGAUGUGCCCAGAUGGGAUUAGCUUGUUGGUGAGGUAACGGCUCACCAAGGCGACGAUCCCUAGCUGGUCUGAGAGGAUGACCAGCCACACUGGAACUGAGACACGGUCCAGACUCCUACGGGAGGCAGCAGUGGGGAAUAUUGCACAAUGGGCGCAAGCCUGAUGCAGCCAUGCCGCGUGUAUGAAGAAGGCCUUCGGGUUGUAAAGUACUUUCAGCGGGGAGGAAGGUGUUGCGGUUAAUAACCGCAGCAAUUGACGUUACCCGCAGAAGAAGCACCGGCUAACUCCGUGCCAGCAGCCGCGGUAAUACGGAGGGUGCAAGCGUU
This 552-nucleotide ribosomal RNA is filed under the name Salmonella enterica subsp. enterica serovar Infantis. RNAcentral's name for it is "bacterial SSU rRNA". It matches the Rfam family "Bacterial small subunit ribosomal RNA", at positions 1 to 542 of the family's 1533-position model. RNAcentral also lists the same sequence under 1 other name. The record is from RNAcentral. Lineage: Bacteria; Pseudomonadati; Pseudomonadota; Gammaproteobacteria; Enterobacterales; Enterobacteriaceae.